AAGUCGUAACAAGGUUUCCGUAGGUGAACCUGCGGAAGGAUCAUUAACACGUAUCCAACGUUAAACCCCCCGUGCACACAGAGACCAGCUCCCCUCAAUUUCGGUCUUUUGGCAAUCUCUGGUAAAUCAUCGCCGAACAGUUUUGAUUCAGAGACCUCUGGGAAGGGUGUACGGUAGUGCGAGGCAAUUGACCUGGCAUUCCUCUGCUUGUUAGUGUCUGAAAGUGUCACUAGCUAUGUACGGAUGGCGCAGUAACGAUCGCUGGAGGCCGACACGGCCGGCGACCAGGUCACUGGGCUACGGCCCCCCUGAUCACAACCUUUGCAUGAAAACGGGCCUGCGCUGAGGUGCGGCCACCCCUAAUGCUUGAACAACUGUUAACAAUGGAUAUCUUGGUUCUC
RNAcentral lists this unclassified non-coding RNA (401 nucleotides) under fungal sp. RNAcentral's name for it is "partial internal transcribed spacer region". The stretch from base 1 to 46 matches the Rfam family "Eukaryotic small subunit ribosomal RNA", at positions 1786 to 1831 of the family's 1831-position model. The record is from RNAcentral. Lineage: Eukaryota; Fungi.